UGCUAAACGUUGUUUUGAUAUUAUGUGA
This 28-nucleotide small RNA is filed under the name Bombyx mori (domestic silkworm). Its description in RNAcentral is "ovarian small RNA-34050". Lineage: Eukaryota; Metazoa; Arthropoda; Insecta; Lepidoptera; Bombycidae. The record is from RNAcentral.